This 1484-nucleotide ribosomal RNA is filed under the name Escherichia coli. RNAcentral describes it as "partial 23S ribosomal RNA". It matches the Rfam family "Bacterial large subunit ribosomal RNA", at positions 1 to 1529 of the family's 2925-position model. Lineage: Bacteria; Pseudomonadati; Pseudomonadota; Gammaproteobacteria; Enterobacterales; Enterobacteriaceae. The record is from RNAcentral.
GGUUAAGCGACUAAGCGUACACGGUGGAUGCCCUGGCAGUCAGAGGCGAUGAAGGACGUGCUAAUCUGCGAUAAGCGUCGGUAAGGUGAUAUGAACCGUUAUAACCGGCGAUUUCCGAAUGGGGAAACCCAGUGUGAUUCGUCACACUAUCAUUAACUGAAUCCAUAGGUUAAUGAGGCGAACCGGGGGAACUGAAACAUCUAAGUACCCCGAGGAAAAGAAAUCAACCGAGAUUCCCCCAGUAGCGGCGAGCGAACGGGGAGGAGCCCAGAGCCUGAAUCAGUGUGUGUGUUAGUGGAAGCGUCUGGAAAGGCGCGCGAUACAGGGUGACAGCCCCGUACACAAAAAUGCACAUGCUGUGAGCUCGAUGAGUAGGGCGGGACACGUGGUAUCCUGUCUGAAUAUGGGGGGACCAUCCUCCAAGGCUAAAUACUCCUGACUGACCGAUAGUGAACCAGUACCGUGAGGGAAAGGCGAAAAGAACCCCGGCGAGGGGAGUGAAAAAGAACCUGAAACCGUGUACGUACAAGCAGUGGGAGCACGCUUAGGCGUGUGACUGCGUACCUUUUGUAUAAUGGGUCAGCGACUUAUAUUCUGUAGCAAGGUUAACCGAAUAGGGGAGCCGAAGGGAAACCGAGUCUUAACUGGGCGUUAAGUUGCAGGGUAUAGACCCGAAACCCGGUGAUCUAGCCAUGGGCAGGUUGAAGGUUGGGUAACACUAACUGGAGGACCGAACCGACUAAUGUUGAAAAAUUAGCGGAUGACUUGUGGCUGGGGGUGAAAGGCCAAUCAAACCGGGAGAUAGCUGGUUCUCCCCGAAAGCUAUUUAGGUAGCGCCUCGUGAAUUCAUCUCCGGGGGUAGAGCACUGUUUCGGCAAGGGGGUCAUCCCGACUUACCAACCCGAUGCAAACUGCGAAUACCGGAGAAUGUUAUCACGGGAGACACACGGCGGGUGCUAACGUCCGUCGUGAAGAGGGAAACAACCCAGACCGCCAGCUAAGGUCCCAAAGUCAUGGUUAAGUGGGAAACGAUGUGGGAAGGCCCAGACAGCCAGGAUGUUGGCUUAGAAGCAGCCAUCAUUUAAAGAAAGCGUAAUAGCUCACUGGUCGAGUCGGCCUGCGCGGAAGAUGUAACGGGGCUAAACCAUGCACCGAAGCUGCGGCAGCGACGCUGAUGCGUUGUUGGGUAGGGGAGCGUUCUGUAAGCCUGCGAAGGUGUGCUGUGAGGCAUGCUGGAGGUAUCAGAAGUGCGAAUGCUGACAUAAGUAACGAUAAAGCGGGUGAAAAGCCCGCUCGCCGGAAGACCAAGGGUUCCUGUCCAACGUUAAUCGGGGCAGGGUGAGUCGACCCCUAAGGCGAGGCCGAAAGGCGUAGUCGAUGGGAAACAGGUUAAUAUUCCUGUACUUGGUGUUACUGCGAAGGGGGGACGGAGAAGGCUAUGUUGGCCGGGCGACGGUUGUCCCGGUUUAAGCGUGUAGGCUGGU